GACGAACGCUGGCGGCGUGCUUAACACAUGCAAGUCGAAUGGAAAGGCCCUGCUUUUGUGGGGUGCUCGAGUGGCGAACGGGUGAAUAACACGUGAGUAACCUGCCCUUGACUUUGGGAUAACUUCAGGAAACUGGGGCUAAUACCGGAUAGGAGCUCCUGCUGCAUGGUGGGGGUUGGAAAGUUUCGGCGGUUGGGGAUGGACUCGCGGCUUAUCAGCUUGUUGGUGGGGUAGUGGCUUACCAAGGCUUUGACGGGUAGCCGGCCUGAGAGGGUGACCGGCCACAUUGGGACUGAGAUACGGCCCAGACUCCUACGGGAGGCAGCAGUGGGGAAGAUUGCACAAUGGGCGGAAGCCUGAUGCAGCAACGCCGCGUGCGGGAUGACGGCCUUCGGGUUGUAAACCGCUUUCGCCUGUGACGAAGCGUGAGUGACGGUAAUGGGUAAAGAAGCACCGGCUAACUACGUG
RNAcentral lists this ribosomal RNA (468 nucleotides) under uncultured bacterium. Its description in RNAcentral is "partial 16S ribosomal RNA". It matches the Rfam family "Bacterial small subunit ribosomal RNA", at positions 28 to 507 of the family's 1533-position model. The record is from RNAcentral.